This 302-nucleotide ribosomal RNA is filed under the name uncultured bacterium. Its description in RNAcentral is "partial 16S ribosomal RNA". It matches the Rfam family "Bacterial small subunit ribosomal RNA", at positions 508 to 809 of the family's 1533-position model. The record is from RNAcentral.
GCAGCCGCCGCGGUAAAACGAAGGGGGCUAGCGUUGUUCGGAAUUACUGGGCGUAAAGGGCGCGUAGGCGGCCAUUCAAGUUAGAUGUGAAAGCCCUGGGCUCAACCUAGGAAUUGCGUUUGAUACUGUUUGGCUUGAGUUCGGGGGAGGUGAGUGGAAUUCCCAGUGUAGAGGUGAAAUUCGUAGAUAUUGGGAAGAACACCAGUGGCGAAGGCGGCUCACUGGACCGACACUGACGCUGAGGCGCGAAAGCGUGGGGAGCAAACAGGAUUAGAUACCCGAGUAGUCCCUGUCUCUUAUAA